RNAcentral lists this ribosomal RNA (470 nucleotides) under uncultured bacterium. RNAcentral's name for it is "bacterial SSU rRNA". It matches the Rfam family "Bacterial small subunit ribosomal RNA", at positions 29 to 507 of the family's 1533-position model. The record is from RNAcentral.
AAUCAACGCUGGCGGCGUGCCUAACACAUGCAAGUCGAGCGCGAAAGGGGGCAACCCCGAGUAGAGCGGCGAACGGGUGAGUAACGCGUGGGUGAUUUGCCUCCGAGUGGGGAACGAACACCGGGAAACUGGUGCUAAUACCGCAUGACAUCUUCGGGUCGUACCGGAGAUCAAAGCUGGGGACCGCAAGGCCUAGCGCUUGGAGAGAAGCCCGCGUCCGAUUAGCUAGUUGGUGGGGUAACGGCUUACCAAGGCGACGAUCGGUAGCUGGUCUGAGAGGACGACCAGCCACACUGGGACUGAGACACGGCCCAGACUCCUACGGGAGGCAGCAGUGGGGAAUAAUUGGACAAUGGGGGAAACCCUGAUCCAGCGACGCCGCGUGAGUGAAGAAGGCCUUAGGGUUGUAAAGCUCUUUCGUCGGGGAAGAUGAUGACGGUACCCGGAGAAGAAGCCCCGCUAACUCCGUG